GGAUUAGCGGCGAACGGGUGAGGAACACGUGAGGAAUCUGCCUUCAACACUGGGAUAACUCCGGGAAACCGGGGCUAAUACCGGAUACGAGACCUGCAGGCAUCUGCGGGUCUGGAAAGUUUUUCGGUUGAAGAUGACCUCGCGGCCUAUCAGCUUGUUGGUGAGGUAAUGGCUCACCAAGGCGACGACGGGUAGCCGGCCUGAGAGGGCGACCGGCCACACUGGGACUGAGACACGGCCCAGACUCCUACGGGAGGCAGCAGUGGGGAAUAUUGGGCAAUGGAGGGAACUCUGACCCAGCGACGCCGCGUGCGGGAUGAAGGCCUUCGGGUUGUAAACCGCUUUCAGCAAGGAAGAAGCGAAAGUGACGGUACUUGCAGAAGAAGCACCGGCUAACUAUGUGCCAGCAGCCGCGGUAAUACAUAGGGUGCAAGCGUUGUCCGGAAUUAUUGGGCGUAAAGAGCUCGUAGGUGGUUCGUCACGUCGGAUGUGAAAAUCUGGGGCUUAACCC
This 511-nucleotide ribosomal RNA is filed under the name uncultured Actinomycetes bacterium. RNAcentral's name for it is "bacterial SSU rRNA". It matches the Rfam family "Bacterial small subunit ribosomal RNA", at positions 89 to 615 of the family's 1533-position model. The record is from RNAcentral. Lineage: Bacteria; Bacillati; Actinomycetota; Actinomycetes.